This 601-nucleotide unclassified non-coding RNA is filed under the name Hevea brasiliensis (rubber tree). The record is from RNAcentral. Lineage: Eukaryota; Viridiplantae; Streptophyta; Magnoliopsida; Malpighiales; Euphorbiaceae.
AAAAAAGAUAAAAAUAGGGAACACCCACUUCAUCAAAAAUCCACUCCCACCACAAAUCCGACCCGAUUCACCACCACCUCAUCAUGCACCAGGAGCUGCAUCCUUUACCUUGCUCUGGAGGUACCCACCAUACUCCUUAGCAUAAUCUUUCAUAUGGCUCGCCGUGUCGUAGAUUCGGCUGCGGGCAUAAUCCAAACGGUCCGAACCCGGUGGGUUCAUCCCUCUGUAAUACCUAUACAUCCAUGAUAAUCCACCCACAACUGCCACCACCACUCCGCAAACAGACAAGAACCCGGCCACGGAGAGAAAGAGGACGAUUCCGACGGGUACCCAUAUAGGGCUGGAAACGAUGAUCAAAGGAGCAAAAAAUAUUAGGACAAGAACUGUGACUGUGACGGUGAUGCCUGUGAGGAGGAGAAGAAUGGAACCGGAGAUGAGGAGGGUCAAGAAACCGAAGAGUUGGGUUGAGUUGGGAGCAUGAGCUUGCAGUUUACGUAGAAAGGUGGAGGUGUUGGUUGUGGCUGAAGGUCUUGAAGUUCUAUGGGGAGCAGUGCGGUCAGCCAUGAUAUGAACCUUGACGAGAGAUAGAGAGAGAGAGAGA